AUUACUCCUACGGGAGGCAGCAGUGGGGAAUAUUGCACAAUGGGCGCAAGCCUGAUGCAGCCAUGCCGCGUGUAUGAAGAAGGCCUUCGGGUUGUAAAGUACUUUCAGCGGGGAGGAAGGUGUUGAGGUUAAUAACCUCAGCAAUUGACGUUACCCGCAGAAGAAGCACCGGCUAACUCCGUGCCAGCAGCCGCGGUAAUAAUC
This 204-nucleotide ribosomal RNA is filed under the name uncultured bacterium. Its description in RNAcentral is "partial 16S ribosomal RNA". It matches the Rfam family "Bacterial small subunit ribosomal RNA", at positions 332 to 526 of the family's 1533-position model. The record is from RNAcentral.